AGUGUUUCCCACUGGUCUCUCCCACAGAUGACGCCUGCAGAGGUGCGCGAGGCUGGGUGUCCAUCUCACUCACCCAGCCUGAAAAUGUCUAUGUGAAGAAGCGUAAGCAAAACAGACACUUGUGCUAAUCACUGUUCAGAGCUUGGCUGCUGAGUGUUUUCUGGGAGCUGCAUUGUCAGUUGAGGGCUGCCCGCUGCGUGGGGUGGAUUCCCCAGCCCUCACAGGAUAAUUUUAUCACAGAGGACAACAUUUGUAGUUCUGCAUGAGUGGCUCUCCUGGCGAGAUAAAGAAGAGACAGUGAGCUGAGGCUGAGGCUGAGAAGGCUGGCAUAUGUGAUGUCUUCGGGGAUCGGAAGCUCUGUGGAUGACAGGAUUAGGCAUGUACAGGACCAUGGAACAGCAAGCUGAGCCACUAGGGCCCUCAGGGAGGAGAAACCCAGAAGCCUGACAUGCCAGCAAAAGGGUAAAGAAAGCUUUUAUGGUUCCCUGACUGAGGAUAAUCAACCCCUUCAUAAUUUAGAAUCCAAAGAUUGGAUCUUCUGAGAACAUCAGAGAAAGACUGCCCUUGCCAUCCACACUGCAACAAAACUUCAGAACCUUGAACCUUGGGUUCAUAAUCUCACAACAAAGAAGGGUCCCUCCAUGUUCUUGGAGCUGUACACCCAUUGGAACUCUUAAGACAUAUGGCCCUAAAGCACCUCAGAAGAAGCUGAAGGAAAUCAGCCUCCAUAGCUUUCAAGCCCCUGGACUCCUGGAGCCAGAAGUUAAUUCACACUCUGAUCUCAGAGAAGUUCAAGACCUUCAGCAGAACUUUUCCUGGCCAGGGCAUUUUUGCCCCUGAGAUAUGUCAUUAAACACUGUAACCAGGAACUUCUGUUCUUACCCCUGUCCUUCCCUUCACCUUUUAUAGUUACUAAAUGCAAUGUUUUAUUUUUCCAAGUACAAAACAAUAAAAUAGUUAUAAAGAAA
Molecule: long non-coding RNA, 968 nt
Filed under: Homo sapiens (human)
Lineage: Eukaryota; Metazoa; Chordata; Mammalia; Primates; Hominidae
Description: HSALNT0301511
Source: RNAcentral